CACGUCACAGACACCGAACUGGGCUCCGGUGUCACCCUGUCACAGACACCGAACUGGGCUCCGGUGUCACCCUGUCACGGACGCCGGACUGGGGCACAGCUGUCACAGGCACUGAACCUGGGCACCAGGGUCACCCGCUCACAGAUACCAAAUCUGGGUGCCCUGCCACAGACACUGGAUCCGGGCACGGGUGGCCUCCUGUCACGGACAAGAAACGGGAUUUUCAUUCCCAAAGGGCACGGAUCUACAGAGCUGAUUGGCAGCAGCUGAUGCAGAGAUCUGAGUGUACACAUGGACUGAGGAACCCACGGGCUGCACUUCCAGGUAUCAGCUCUGUGGAAGAACCUUGCAAAUCUCUAAGAGAGCCAGGGAGCAAAAAAAUGCUCAUAACUUGUGACCAAGGAGACAAAGGAAGUUUGCACAUUCCAUGCUUGUGUACUGUCACUGUGCACCUCUGAGAACUGUCUGGGUACACCCACCAUGAUGGAGCUGAAAACAGCAACAAAGGUGUAAUACAUGUGGCUGAUGUGAAAAUAUACUUAUUACCAAGAAAAAGGGAGAUACAGAAUGCUUCACAGAAGAAUGAGUAACUAGAUUGUCUGGCAUGAAGAGAAAGUUCAUCAACAAAUUUAAACUUACAAUUUUUAAAAUCUGUUACAUGUCCUCUUGCACCACAAACCUGGCAAUAUUUUGUCAGGAAACGAACCAGAAAUAAUUAUGGGGCACUCCUGGGCACUUCCUCACUCAAAUAAUGAAUUAGGUGAUUAUUUCUAAGCAGGUAAAUCGACAGACCUACCCAGAGCUCUAGAUAACAUCUCCUUUCACAUGCCUGGUUUUAUUAAGUGGGCCACCCAUCCUAGCUGAUUUGUAUAAUACACAUGUAAGACUUGAAAGAGACUUAGCAGUGAAUCAUGGAGUACUUCCCUUUAAUGGUCUAACAACAGAGUAGGAUUGACAUAGCUUCUGAGAGAUCAAUGAACAUUUUAGCCAGAAGCUUACUUGUGUCUAAUGGCAGGAGCAGUAACUUUGCUCAAUUCUAUUAGUGCUGUCUGUACAGAAUGCCAUGCCCUAAAAGUCAUCUGCCACUGGGAUACAAUCCAGUGUUUAUUUCCAUUAGUUUAGCCAUUGUUGGUAACAAUAAAAAUCAGGAUGCAGUUGCAAACUAAUGAUUUAUGGGUAGAAUAAAGCACAGGAUGACCUUGGCUGCCUUCCAUCCACCAAGAAAAUGACUGGUAGUUAGAAAUAAAUUAAAAUUAUUGCAAGAGGAUAGCAUACGUUAUUUCUCCAAUAGGUAAUUUUACCAGCUAAAUAGCCCUGCCAUUAAACUGGCAGCUGUUGUACAAAUUAAAUUCCAAGAUAAAAAAAGAAAUUACAGCUCUUGUAAUUGUUGUAGUACUAAGAAUGCUGAAAACCCUAGCUCUGUAGGAACUGGCAGAAAAGGAGCUCUGGUGUGAUAAGGCUGAGCACAUACUCCUGGGCUGUGUUCAGGUGAAUGACUCUUCUGAAAGCUAAGCAGAAAAGAUCAGGUAAAUAUUUCUAUUGUCACAAAUGGAAAUUCCUUUACAGGUGAUUCCAGAGAUAAAAAAGCAAUCUUCCCUGACUGGAAUUUGUAGCUAAUGAAACUUUAGAACUUUGUUUUGCAAUUUAAGUUAUUCUGAUAAAACAAAACCAUCAGCAAUAUACUCUGCAUGUUCUUGA
Molecule: non-coding RNA, 1698 nt
Organism: Taeniopygia guttata (zebra finch)
Lineage: Eukaryota; Metazoa; Chordata; Aves; Passeriformes; Estrildidae
Source: RefSeq, a predicted model, not a curated record